UCUUGUGUUGGAAAGUGCCCGUGGGUCGUGCCCCGAGGAUUGAUGGUGCAGGGCUGGGAGAGCUGAGAGACAUCUUCCCUGCGUUGGGCCAGCCUUUCCUUCCAAACCGUGGAGUGUUCCCACA
RNAcentral lists this small nucleolar RNA (124 nucleotides) under Saimiri boliviensis boliviensis (Bolivian squirrel monkey). RNAcentral describes it as "Small nucleolar RNA SNORA71 (ENSSBOG00000010086.1)". Lineage: Eukaryota; Metazoa; Chordata; Mammalia; Primates; Cebidae. The record is from RNAcentral.